This 450-nucleotide ribosomal RNA is filed under the name uncultured bacterium. RNAcentral describes it as "partial 16S ribosomal RNA". It matches the Rfam family "Bacterial small subunit ribosomal RNA", at positions 354 to 796 of the family's 1533-position model. The record is from RNAcentral.
GUGGGGAAUUUUGGACAAUGGGCGAAAGCCUGAUCCAGCCAUGCCGCGUGUGUGAAGAAGGUCUUCGGAUUGUAAAGCACUUUAAGUUGGGAGGAAGGGCAGUAAGUUAAUACCUUGCUGUUUUGACGUUACCAACAGAAUAAGCACCGGCUAACUUCGUGCCAGCAGCCGCGGUAAUACGAAGGGUGCAAGCGUUAAUCGGAAUUACUGGGCGUAAAGCGCGCGUAGGUGGUUUUGUAAGUUGGAGGUGAAAUCCCCGGGCUCAACCUGGGAACUGCCUCCAAAACUGCAUGACUAGAGUACGGUAGAGGGUAGUGGAAUUUCCUGUGUAGCGGUGAAAUGCGUAGAUAUAGGAAGGAACACCAGUGGCGAAGGCGACUACCUGGACUGAUACUGACACUGAGGUGCGAAAGCGUGGGGAGCAAACAGGAUUAGAAACCCCGGUAGUCC